RNAcentral lists this long non-coding RNA (582 nucleotides) under Fukomys damarensis (Damara mole-rat). Its description in RNAcentral is "lncRNA (ENSFDAG00000030777.1)". Lineage: Eukaryota; Metazoa; Chordata; Mammalia; Rodentia; Bathyergidae. The record is from RNAcentral.
GUGGUAUUUGUAUAUGGAAGAUAUUACAAAAUUUUACUGUAAAGUAUACAGAAAAUCCACAUAAUUAGAGACAUCGUAUGUUUUCAAGGAAGAGGGCUAAAUACUAGCUCUUAAACUUACAAACACUUCACGUGACCCUCAUAUCCAACAAGGCCCACUACAUUAGUCAGGACUGUUAAAUCCAGCUUGCGCUGGAGCUCUGAGAAGUGGUUCCGUUUUGGAGCAAGAGGGAGGGAAGCUGGAAAACACGGAAAGUUCGGUGUCCCCAUCAGCCUCUCUGCUGCUCUCCCCAAAGCUGUUCCACUGCUGGUGCUGCAGAGCGGGCUCUCCAUGGCUCCGGGGAGCAGGGCCUGGCUCCCCAGGAACGUGGGCUGCACCCGAGGGCCCCGUGCUGGCCACAGCUGGCCCCGAGCUGCUGCGUGUGCCUUCACCCGGCCAGUCCGGGACUCUCACCAGAGCGUGGAUAAACAGAGCAGGACCAAGUUGAUUAAAAAUAACGGACCUGAAAACUUCAGCCUUCUCUUUGCAAGGAGCCACGAGAGGAGGAAACACGGGAGAGCAUGGAAAUGGUUUCUUCAGUAA